This is a long non-coding RNA of Motacilla alba alba, 718 nucleotides long. RefSeq lists it as uncharacterized. The transcript has 2 exons. The record is from RefSeq and is a predicted model, not a curated record. NCBI's taxonomy places the organism in Eukaryota, Metazoa, Chordata, Aves, Passeriformes, Motacillidae.
GGCACGGCGGGCAGCGCCGCUGGAGGAGCCCGGCCCGCUCCCCGGCCCCGGCCCCGGCCCCGGCCGCCCCGGCGAGGGGAAGGCUGCGACAGCCGCCCGCCGGUUCCCGCUGCCCGCUGGGGACCCUGGCACGUCUGGCACGUCUUCCGCGCCCCACGGCCCGCACCGUGCCCCGUGUGCCCUCUCCCGACUCGGGACGGUGCCCAGCAGCUUCGUUUCCCUCCGCACCUGGUGCCCACCCGCUGACGAAGGAUGCUGUCCGGCGCGCUGAUCCACCCUGAGUGGGAACCCCAAAUAGGUGCCCCGUUUGGAACCCCUAACUGCGCCCUUUUUCUGGAAGGCCUGUGCCUCUCCCAGCCUGGAGAGAACAGCCAGGCUCAACCUCUGCACCUGGCGGUGGCUUCCUGCUCCCCAGGGCACGGACACCCCCAUUGUCCCCCCCACCUGGGCUUUCCACGCAUCCCAUCCAUGCAUCUUUAUAAUUCCCGCUGCUGGAAGGCAGCUCCAUCCAUGACCACCCUCCCGGCCAUCCUCCUGCGACUCCCGCGGGCCGGGAUUUUCAGGGCACGGCAGCAUGGAACACCCAAACGUGUCCGUGAGGAGGGAGGAUGCUCGGAGAAAAACCCUCCUGACUGACUCUGAAGGCUUAUUUCCAACAUGCACCCUUCAGGACUCUCUGGAGCUGGAAAACAGAGCUAAAUAAAUGCGGAGUUCUUCC